This 2042-nucleotide ribosomal RNA is filed under the name Salmonella enterica. Its description in RNAcentral is "partial 23S ribosomal RNA". It matches the Rfam family "Bacterial large subunit ribosomal RNA", at positions 911 to 2925 of the family's 2925-position model. Lineage: Bacteria; Pseudomonadati; Pseudomonadota; Gammaproteobacteria; Enterobacterales; Enterobacteriaceae. The record is from RNAcentral.
UGUUUCGGCUAGGGGGCCAUCCCGGCUUACCAACCCGAUGCAAACUGCGAAUACCGGAGAAUGUUAUCACGGGAGACACACGGCGGGUGCUAACGUCCGUCGUGAAGAGGGAAACAACCCAGACCGCCAGCUAAGGUCCCAAAGUCAUGGUUAAGUGGGAAACGAUGUGGGAAGGCCCAGACAGCCAGGAUGUUGGCUUAGAAGCAGCCAUCAUUUAAAGAAAGCGUAAUAGCUCACUGGUCGAGUCGGCCUGCGCGGAAGAUGUAACGGGGCUAAACCAUGCACCGAAGCUGCGGCAGCGACGCUGAUGCGUUGUUGGGUAGGGGAGCGUUCUGUAAGCCUGUGAAGGUGGCCUGUGAGGGUUGCUGGAGGUAUCAGAAGUGCGAAUGCUGACAUAAGUAACGAUAAAGCGGGUGAAAAGCCCGCUCGCCGGAAGACCAAGGGUUCCUGUCCAACGUUAAUCGGGGCAGGGUGAGUCGACCCCUAAGGCGAGGCCGAAAGGCGUAGUCGAUGGGAAACGGGUUAAUAUUCCCGUACUUGGUGUUACUGCGAAGGGGGGACGGAGAAGGCUAUGUUGGCCGGGCGACGGUUGUCCCGGUUUAAGCGUGUAGGUGUGUGUUCCAGGUAAAUCCGGUUCACUUUAACACUGAGGCGUGAUGACGAGGCACUACGGUGCUGAAGCAACAAAUGCCCUGCUUCCAGGAAAAGCCUCUAAGCAUCAGGUAACAUCAAAUCGUACCCCAAACCGACACAGGUGGUCAGGUAGAGAAUACCAAGGCGCUUGAGAGAACUCGGGUGAAGGAACUAGGCAAAAUGGUGCCGUAACUUCGGGAGAAGGCACGCUGACACGUAGGUGAAGUGAUUUACUCAUGGAGCUGAAGUCAGUCGAAGAUACCAGCUGGCUGCAACUGUUUAUUAAAAACACAGCACUGUGCAAACACGAAAGUGGACGUAUACGGUGUGACGCCUGCCCGGUGCCGGAAGGUUAAUUGAUGGGGUCAGCGCAAGCGAAGCUCCUGAUCGAAGCCCCGGUAAACGGCGGCCGUAACUAUAACGGUCCUAAGGUAGCGAAAUUCCUUGUCGGGUAAGUUCCGACCUGCACGAAUGGCGUAAUGAUGGCCAGGCUGUCUCCACCCGAGACUCAGUGAAAUUGAACUCGCUGUGAAGAUGCAGUGUACCCGCGGCAAGACGGAAAGACCCCGUGAACCUUUACUAUAGCUUGACACUGAACAUUGAGCCUUGAUGUGUAGGAUAGGUGGGAGGCUUUGAAGUGUGGACGCCAGUCUGCAUGGAGCCGGCCUUGAAAUACCACCCUUUAAUGUUUGAUGUUCUAACGUGGACCCGUGAUCCGGGUUGCGGACAGUGUCUGGUGGGUAGUUUGACUGGGGCGGUCUCCUCCUAAAGAGUAACGGAGGAGCACGAAGGUUGGCUAAUCCUGGUCGGACAUCAGGAGGUUAGUGCAAUGGCAUAAGCCAGCUUGACUGCGAGCGUGACGGCGCGAGCAGGUGCGAAAGCAGGUCAUAGUGAUCCGGUGGUUCUGAAUGGAAGGGCCAUCGCUCAACGGAUAAAAGGUACUCCGGGGAUAACAGGCUGAUACCGCCCAAGAGUUCAUAUCGACGGCGGUGUUUGGCACCUCGAUGUCGGCUCAUCACAUCCUGGGGCUGAAGUAGGUCCCAAGGGUAUGGCUGUUCGCCAUUUAAAGUGGUACGCGAGCUGGGUUUAGAACGUCGUGAGACAGUUCGGUCCCUAUCUGCCGUGGGCGCUGGAGAACUGAGGGGGGCUGCUCCUAGUACGAGAGGACCGGAGUGGACGCAUCACUGGUGUUCGGGUUGUCAUGCCAAUGGCACUGCCCGGUAGCUAAAUGCGGAAGAGAUAAGUGCUGAAAGCAUCUAAGCACGAAACUUGCCCCGAGAUGAGUUCUCCCUGAGACUUAGAGUCUCCUGAAGGAACGUUGAAGACGACGACGUUGAUAGGCCGGGUGUGUAAGCGCAGCGAUGCGUUGAGCUAACCGGUACUAAUGAACCGUGAGGCUUAACCUUACA